Non-coding RNA from Coffea arabica (coffee), 255 nucleotides. The record is from RefSeq and is a predicted model, not a curated record. NCBI's taxonomy places the organism in Eukaryota, Viridiplantae, Streptophyta, Magnoliopsida, Gentianales, Rubiaceae.
GAGUUCGAAUCGAACUCUAGAUAUGUUGAAUCCACAAUUUCUUAUGUUGUCUUGGGAACAUUGUUGGCUGCUUUGGUCCCUGUUCUGGGCUUUAAUCCGGUCAUGACAUCCGAGUAUUUUGCUUCAUUUUUGGGUAAUUUGCUGUGCCAUGGUGACUGUACUUAUAGCAUUAGUAGCCUCCCGCCCAACUAAGGGUUGGAGUGUGCGUAGUCUAAGUCUGCUUGAUCCGUGAGUCUCUUCUGUCUGUCGAAUUCU